AAAGUCAGUCACCUUCUCCAGAAUUUGGAAAGACGGCCUCGACGUACCAGGAAAGAUGACUUCUGGAGCCGGUCUGAUAGGGAGUUACACCCUCCAGACCUGUGGAAAUCAGCAAGCAGAAAACAGUAAGAAGAUAAAGAAGAGACCAGUCGACCCUAGAGUACCCCUGAACCAGACUUAGGAGUGGCAUCACAGGAAGAACAGAAGCGGCUUGAUGACAGUGAACAUAACCAGCUCAGUUUCAAACUUCAUGAAGCAGAAACUGGUAGAAGCCUGGCAUGGUGGUGCACAUCACUCAAGAGGCUGAGGCAGGAGGAUCACCACGAGUUCAAGUC
Long non-coding RNA from Fukomys damarensis (Damara mole-rat), 335 nucleotides. RefSeq lists it as uncharacterized. The transcript is spliced from 3 exons. NCBI's taxonomy places the organism in Eukaryota, Metazoa, Chordata, Mammalia, Rodentia, Bathyergidae. The record is from RefSeq and is a predicted model, not a curated record.